AUACGGAGGAUGCAAGCGUUAUCCGGAUUUAUUGGGUUUAAAGGGUGCGUAGGCGGUUUGCUAAGCGGGAGGUGAAAUGCCGGCGCUCAACGACGGAAGUGCCUCCCGAACUGGUGGACUUGAAUGACUCUGCCGUGGGAGGAAUGUGUAGUGUAGCGGUGAAAUGCUUAGAGAUUACACAGAACACCGAUUGCGAAGGCAUCUCACGAAGGGUUGAUUGACGCUGAGGCACGAAAGCGUGGGGAUCAAACAGGAUUAGAUACCCUGGUAGUCCACGCAGUAAACGAUGAUGGCUAACCGCUGGAUCCAUCGGUUCAGUGGCCAAGCGAAAGCGAUAAGCCAUCCACCUGGGGAGUACGACCGCAAGGUUGAAACUCAAAUGAAUUGACGGGG
This 393-nucleotide ribosomal RNA is filed under the name uncultured bacterium. RNAcentral's name for it is "partial 16S ribosomal RNA". It matches the Rfam family "Bacterial small subunit ribosomal RNA", at positions 523 to 918 of the family's 1533-position model. The record is from RNAcentral.